Molecule: long non-coding RNA, 585 nt
Filed under: Mus musculus (house mouse)
Lineage: Eukaryota; Metazoa; Chordata; Mammalia; Rodentia; Muridae
Description: long non-coding RNA chrX:74510945-74511530
Source: RNAcentral
GGGUCUCGAGCCUCCAUGUUACUGUGGGUUGAAGAGCUCCAGGAGAUCAAGAAGGAGACUGACUUUCCCCACAGCCUGAUCACCUGCCUAUACAGCCACUUCACCAGCCUGGACAAAGGAAAGAAUGGGACUCUCAGCAGGGAAGAUUUCUAGAGGAUUCCAGAACUUGCCAUCAACCCAUUGAGGGACCAGAUCAUCAAUGCCUUCUUCUCAGAGGGAGAGGAUCAGGUAAACUUUUGAGGAUUCAUGGGAACUUUGGCUCAUUUCUGACCCAUUGAGGAUAACAAAAAGAGCAAUGAUGUGAAUCGACUGGAACCACUCAACAGCUGGAGCAACAACUUGCACUUUACUUUCUGACUCUAUGAUUUGGAUAAAGAUGACAAGAUCUCCCGUGAUGAGCUGUUAUAGAUACUGCGAAUGAUGGUCAGAGUGAAUAUUUCAGAUGAGCUGCUAGGCAGUAUUGCAGACAGGAUCAUCCAGGAGGCUGACCAAGAUGAUGAUAGUGCCAUAUCUUUUACAGAAUUUUUUAACGUUUUAGAAAAGGUAGAUGUAGAACAGAAGAUGAACAUCAGACUUCUCCACUAA